GCGCGAAAACUUUACAAUGCUGGCAACAGCGAUAAGGGAACCUCGAGUGCCAGGUUACAAAUCUGGCUGUCGAGAUGCCUAAAAAGCAUUUCAUAGCAAGGGCCGGGCAAGACCGGUGCCAGCCGCCGCGGUAACACCGGCGGCUCGAGUGGUAACCGUUAUUAUUGGGUCUAAAGGGUCUGUAGCCGGCCGGAUAAGUCUCUUGAGAAAUCUGGCAGCUUAACUGUCAGGCUUUCAGGAGAUACUGUCUGGCUCGAGGCCGGGAGAGGUGAGAGGUACUUCAGGGGUAUGGGUGAAAUCUUGUAAUCCUUGAAGGACCACCCGUGGCGAAGGCGUCUCACCAGACCUGACCUAACGGCAAGGGACGAAAGCUAGGGGCACUAACC
This 386-nucleotide ribosomal RNA is filed under the name uncultured prokaryote. RNAcentral's name for it is "bacterial SSU rRNA". It matches the Rfam family "Archaeal small subunit ribosomal RNA", at positions 339 to 725 of the family's 1478-position model. The record is from RNAcentral.